AAGUCGUAACAAGGUUUCCGUAGGUGAACCUGCGGAAGGAUCAUUAACACGUAUCCAACGUUAAACAACCGUGAACCUUCAUGUUUCGUGUCUUACUUUUUAACUUCGAGGGCGUCUGGUAACUCACGUGAACAGAUUGACUCAGACAUUCUUGAAGAAAAAGGGUAAGAUGCUUGUGACGCUUGUGAGUGGGCAACUACAAGCAAGUGAAGGACAAUUUCUUGACUGACAUCGUUGGAUCGAGCCUGCCGUUAAGUGGGUGAGAUUCCUGUUGGUCUUGGAAAUCGGUGCAGCCACACGCUUCAUCGGACCUCAUCUCAGGGAUAAUCCCCCCUUUCUAUUCACCACCCCCUCCUACGCAAACGCUCGCCGGCAUGGUCCCGCUUGAGCAUUCAAAAAACCGAACAACUGUUAACAAUGGAUAUCUUGGUUCUC
This 435-nucleotide unclassified non-coding RNA is filed under the name fungal sp. RNAcentral's name for it is "partial internal transcribed spacer region". The stretch from base 1 to 46 matches the Rfam family "Eukaryotic small subunit ribosomal RNA", at positions 1786 to 1831 of the family's 1831-position model. Lineage: Eukaryota; Fungi. The record is from RNAcentral.